This 941-nucleotide ribosomal RNA is filed under the name uncultured Alkaliflexus sp. Its description in RNAcentral is "bacterial SSU rRNA". It matches the Rfam family "Bacterial small subunit ribosomal RNA", at positions 263 to 1202 of the family's 1533-position model. Lineage: Bacteria; Pseudomonadati; Bacteroidota; Bacteroidia; Marinilabiliales; Marinilabiliaceae. The record is from RNAcentral.
ACCUACCAAGGCCACGAUGUCUUUGGGUCCUGAGAGGGUGAUCCCCCACACUGGUACUGAGACACGGACCAGACUCCUACGGGAGGCAGCAGUGAGGAAUAUUGGUCAAUGGGCGCAAGCCUGAACCAGCCAUCCCGCGUGAAGGAAGAAUGCGCUAUGCGUUGUAAACUUCUUUGCCAGGGGAAUAAAAUCCUGAACGUGUUCGGGACUGAAGGUACCCUGGGAAUAAGCAUCGGCUAACUCCGCUACAGCAGCCGCGGUAAUACGGAGGAUGCGAGCGGUAUCCGGAUUCAUUGGGUUUAAAGGGUGCGUAGGCGGAUCAAUAAGUCAGUGGUGAAAACCUGCAGCUUAACUGUAGACGUGCCAUUGAUACUGUUGGUCUUGAGUAUGGUCAAGGUAGGCGGAAUGUGUAAUGUAGCGGUGAAAUGCUUAGAUAUUACACAGAACACCGAUUGCGAAGGCAGCUUACUGGGCCAUUACUGACGCUGAUGCACGAAAGCGUGAGGAGCAAACAGGAUUAGAUACCCUGGUAGUCCACGCCGUAAACGAUGAUCACUCGCUGUUAGCGAUACACAGUUAGCGGCUAAGCAAAAGCAUUAAGUGAUCCACCUGGGUAGUACGGCCGCAAGGCUGAAACUCAAAGGAAUUGACGGGGGCCCGCACAAGCGGAGGAACAUGUGGUUUAAUUCGAUGAUACGCGAGGAACCUUACCUGGGCUUAAAUGUAGACUGCAUUCAUGGGAAACCAUGAUUUCCUUCGGGACUGAUUGCAAGGUGCUGCAUGGUUGUCGUCAGCUCGUGCCGUGAGGUGUCGGAUUAAGUUCCAUAACGAGCGCAACCCUUAUCGUUAGUUGCCAGCGGGUCAAGCCGGGGACUCUAGCGAAACUGCCGGUGUAAACCGAGAGGAAGGUGGGGAAGUUUUCAAAUCAGCAAUGAAGUCGU